GAAAAGGGAGAGCAGAGCAUUGCGCUUCAAGACGGGUGCGUGAUAUGUAUGAGAGGAGAUAUAAAGCCAGUAAAUCAUAUAUCCGAGCAUGGUAGCUGUUUUGAACAAGCUUGGUCUGAGGUCGCUCCGAAAAUACCCAAGUACCACGAAACUGCAGAGCCGCCGGUACACACAGAUUCUCCUUUACUUCUAAAAUAACUUCCUGUGAAGCGAUUUCCACCCAGUGCGUGGCAGAAGGGAGGGAGUUGCUGCAAGGUCAUCCGGUAUACAUACUAAUACCGGAGGAAAUGGUGAAAAUGAAACUGAACUCCAUCUCCGGCAAGGUUACAUCAUACCAAAAGCAGAGUCGACGUAGCAGUAGCACCAGCCGAGUGGAUGUGGGCAUGAAAUUGAUCGAGGGACAUUUUACUCGCUUCCCUACUUCUUCCUUCCUCGCCGGGCGUAUACUCCUCUGGUCGCUGGAACAUGGGAUUUCAAACAAUUUGGCUUAACUAAA
Molecule: long non-coding RNA, 496 nt
Organism: Folsomia candida
Lineage: Eukaryota; Metazoa; Arthropoda; Collembola; Entomobryomorpha; Isotomidae
Exons: 3
Source: RefSeq, a predicted model, not a curated record